AAUCCAGAGAUGGAUUUGUGCCUUCGGGAACCGUGAGACAGGUGCUGCAUGGCUGUCGUCAGCUCGUGUUGUGAAAUGUUGGGUUAAGUCCCGCAACGAGCGCAACCCUUAUCCUUUGUUGCCAGCGAUUAGGUCGGGAACUCAAAGGAGACUGCCAGUGAUAAACUGGAGGAAGGUGGGGAUGACGUCAAGUCAUCAUGGCCCUUACGACCAGGGCUACACACGUGCUACAAUGGCGCAUACAAAGAGAAGCGACCUCGC
RNAcentral lists this ribosomal RNA (261 nucleotides) under Salmonella enterica subsp. enterica serovar Anatum. RNAcentral's name for it is "partial 16S ribosomal RNA". It matches the Rfam family "Bacterial small subunit ribosomal RNA", at positions 997 to 1258 of the family's 1533-position model. Lineage: Bacteria; Pseudomonadati; Pseudomonadota; Gammaproteobacteria; Enterobacterales; Enterobacteriaceae. The record is from RNAcentral.